AGCACCGGCUAACUCCGUGCCAGCAGCCGCGUAUACGGGGGUGCAAGCGUACUCGGAAUCACUGGGCGUAAAGAGCAUGUAGGCGGGUAAAUAAGUUGGAAGUGAAAUCCUAUAGCUUAACUAUAGAACUGCUUCCAAAACUGUUUACCUAGAGUAUGGGAGAGGUAGAUGGAAUUUCUGGUGUAGGGGUAAAAUCCGUAGAGAUCAGAAGGAAUACCGAUUGCGAAGGCGAUCUACUGGAACAUUACUGACGCUCAGAUGCGAAAGCGUGGGGAGCAAACAGGAUUAGAUACCCUGGUAGUCCACGCCCUAAACGAUGUACACUAGUUGUUGCUAUACUAGAUAUGGCAGUAAUGCAGUUAACACUUUAAGUGUACCGCCUGGGGAGUACGGUCGCAAGAUUAAAACUCAAAGGAAUAGACGGGGACCCGCACAAGCGGUGGAGCAUGUGGUUUAAUUCGACGAUACGCGAAAAACCUUACCUGGCCUUGACAUAGUAGGAACUUUCUAGAGAUAGAUUGGUGCUAGCUUGCUAGAACCUAUAUACAGGUGCUGCACGGCUGUCGUCAGCUCGUGUCGUGAGAUGUUGGGUUAAGUCCCGCAACGAGCGCAACCCACGUGAUUAGUUGCUAACAGUUCGGCUGAGAACUCUAAUCAGACUGCCUUCGUAAGGAGGAGGAAGGUGUGGACGACAUCAAGUCAUCAUGGCCCUUACGGCCAGGGCUACACACGUGCUACAAUGGGAUAUACAAAGAGCCGCAAUACCGCGAGGUGGAGCAAAUCUAGAAAAUAUCUCCCAGUUCGGAUUGUUCUCUGCAACUCGAGAACAUGAAGUUGGAAUCGCUAGUAAUCGUGGAUCAGCAUUGCCACGGUGAAUACGUUCCCGGGUCUUGUACUCACCGCCCGUCACACCAUGGGAGUUGAUUUCAUUCGAAGCGGGGAUGCUAAAGUAGCUACCUUCCACAAUGGGAUUAGCGACUGGGGUGAAGUCGUAACAAGGUAACC
RNAcentral lists this ribosomal RNA (1005 nucleotides) under uncultured bacterium. Its description in RNAcentral is "bacterial SSU rRNA". It matches the Rfam family "Bacterial small subunit ribosomal RNA", at positions 488 to 1501 of the family's 1533-position model. The record is from RNAcentral.